GGAGCCUUUAAAGCUUGCUUGAAGAUGAGCCUGCGGGCGCAUUAGCUAGUUGUGGGGUAAUGGCCUACCAAGGCAACGAUGCGUAGCCGACCUGAGAGGGUGAUCGGCCACACUGGGACUGAGACACGGCCCAGACUCCUACGGGAGACAGCAGUUAGGAAUAUUCGUCAAUGGGGGAAACCCUGAACGAGCAAUGCCGCGUGAAGGAUGACGGUCCUCUGGAUUGUAAACUUCUGUUGUUAGGGAAGAACGACCUGUAUAGGAAAUGAUACAGGAGUGACGGUACCUUUCAAGAAAGCUCCGGCUAACUACGUG
This 315-nucleotide ribosomal RNA is filed under the name uncultured bacterium. RNAcentral's name for it is "bacterial SSU rRNA". It matches the Rfam family "Bacterial small subunit ribosomal RNA", at positions 202 to 507 of the family's 1533-position model. The record is from RNAcentral.